This 301-nucleotide ribosomal RNA is filed under the name uncultured bacterium. RNAcentral describes it as "partial 16S ribosomal RNA". It matches the Rfam family "Bacterial small subunit ribosomal RNA", at positions 509 to 807 of the family's 1533-position model. The record is from RNAcentral.
CAGUCGCCGCGGUAAUACGUAUGUCGCAAGCGUUAUCCGGAAUUAUUGGGCAUAAAGGGCAUCUAGGCGGCCAGGCAAGUCUGGGGUGAAAACCUGCGGCUCAACCGCAGGCCUGCCCUGGAAACUGCGUGGCUAGAGUGCUGGAGAGGUGGACGGAACUGCACGAGUAGAGGUGAAAUUCGUAGAUAUGUGCAGGAAUGCCGAUGAUGAAGAUAGUUCACUGGACGGCAACUGACGCUGAAGUGCGAAAGCCGGGGGAGCGAACAGGAUUAGAUACCCCCGUAGUCCCUGUCUCUUAUAC